AUUUUGCCUAUCUCAAUCAUUUUGCCUAUCCCCUGUACAGUUGGAAACCAGUUUAUCGAAAUUCGAUUAUUAGACGGCCAUCAGAUAGUAUUGUUCAACCUUGAGGAUUAAAGCGGCAGUGCAGAUCGACGUAUUAGGGGUGCACAAACUGAAUUGAGAACGAUUGUCCACUUAAGAAGCUCUAGGGAGUGAAUUUACCUCAAACACAGAAAUCUAUGAAGUUGCUCAUUAAGGCAGCUAUCUGGAUUGUGUUUCCCUCACACGCUUCUCCAACAAAACUAAAAUACUAGUUUGAUUGCUUAGUCGACGAUGUUCGGUACAUCUUAAAACUGCUUCUGGCGAUAAGAAAACCUGCAGGAUCAGAACUAACGGGAAUGAAAAAGAUCCACAACAAGCAAAAUCUGAACCGGUCAGAUUUCUACUAAUGGACUAAGGAAAAAAUGGUGUCUCCUCAGCGCAACCAAGCAUACAAUCCGUGAGGGCGAAUCGAGAAGGGAGGAAAAAUCAGUGCCAUGUUAUUUACUUCAUUUUCGAUAAAGCUGUAAGUGAUUUUUGUUGUUUCAAUAGAAAAUAAAAUAAAUUGUUCAUAAUGCAGUGGUCAUGCGUUUCAUUAUCAUUAGAAUGAAUAAUAUAUAAUUCAAAUAAUA
RNAcentral lists this long non-coding RNA (647 nucleotides) under Aedes aegypti (yellow fever mosquito). RNAcentral's name for it is "lncRNA AAEL023879". The record is from RNAcentral. Lineage: Eukaryota; Metazoa; Arthropoda; Insecta; Diptera; Culicidae.